GACCAGCCUGGACCACAGAUCAAGACCCUGUCUCUACUAAAAAAAAAAAAGGUGAAGGCCUACAGGGAAAGAAACAAUUACCAAGAAGGCCCAAUCUGCUAGAAGGUAUUUAAACAAUAUUCCCAUUGCGUACACAAAUGCAAAUGGCAUUUGAUCAUAACUGUCUUUCUCUGUCUGUCACACCCUAGCCCCAUGCUUGCUUUAGCAGAACAGAUAGUGCCUAUUAUUCACAAAUGAUUUCUCUUACCUUCCUAGACCUGACACUUAUUUUGGAGGAUGAACAGAAGUCAUCAGCCCAUGAGAUCUUCAGAGGUUCCAUGACAAUGUUACACCCUGAGUCACAGGCUAAAUGUCUAGAACAGUCAGAUGCUUACUGGGAACCAAGAUGAUGUUUCUAAGGAGGAAAUUCAUAUAGGGUAAAAUUCGAGCAAAUCGCUUUCAGAAUUCAUGCAAGAAUCUCUCCAAAAAUUGUGCCAGCUGCUGUCUCGUGCUGUAGUUGAAGUCCAGAAUCGAAUCUGCCCAUGUGCUGUGCUUUGGAUCAGGACUCCUUUAAUGGACAAAGAUUUGUGUCGUUCUGUGUCUGGGGGCACAGACACACAUGUGUACUAGGACACAUGAAGAGGAGAUGCUUAAUUCAUACACCGUAAUCUUCACUUGUUUUAUGAACUGGAAAUCAAUUCAAUUUCUUCAGAAGAUACACAAAUUGUUUGCAUACACCAGAGGUCACAAGUGGUGUCCUGCUGACCAAAAGGACUCAGGGUUAGCUGUAAUGUUACAUUGAAAUGCUGCAGGUAGGCAUGCCUUGCCAGUUUCUCACAGGCCACCAAGCCUGAUUCCACUUCAUGCCCCACACAGUUGUCUUAUCUGCAUAAACACUAAAGCCAUUUGGAUUUGUCAAGGCUUGACUUACAUACACUUUUUAAAGAUCAACCAUGAUAGACAUAAACUUCCUACUGUAUAAUCUUAUUUCCCCCACCAUAAAUAUGGACAAAAUUAGAGGUUUGCUCUAAAAAUUCAUUCUAGUUUAACGUGAAGUGAAAUGUAGCAAGUUUGUAACUCUUCACUUGAAAUACUUCUGAGAAGCUUUUUUUUACCUCCCAAAUGCUGCCAACUCCCUUCCCACUCUGACAACACUAAUAAUUUAGAACCAUUUUAAUUCUCUGUGAGUCUCAAAGAUGGAAAAUUCAGGUUACAGGAUAAAUCUGGCCUUAAUACAUGCUUUGUUGUGGCUGGGGAUGGGGGGAGUUGUAAGGGGUAAGAGACAGUGUUUAAGAUAUUAAAAAAUAUUUCUCUGCCGCUUCAGAUACAUAUGCUCUGUGCCUGCUGCCUGGAAACAUCUGAGUUUGUGGCCUCUGCUGAAUACAAAUACAGAGACUCAGGUUAGCCCAAGUCAACCCCUUCUCCAUCAUCAGGAGUA
Homo sapiens (human) is the source of this 1417-nucleotide long non-coding RNA. RefSeq lists it as uncharacterized. The transcript has 3 exons. Lineage: Eukaryota; Metazoa; Chordata; Mammalia; Primates; Hominidae. The record is from RefSeq and is a predicted model, not a curated record.